GGUCUGCAUCUAGAGUUCCUCUUUCAGCUAAACCGCAGCUCUCCAUUUUGUUUCUUUUAGCAGCUUUAGAAGAUAACUUUCUAAGUCACUGGGGUAUCCUUUCAAUGACUGCUUUGUCACAGGAGAAAGGGCCCUCCUCCCUUACUCUGGGAGAGCAGUUGACAAGGAGUCUCCCUAGAAUGCGUGUGAUUUUCCUAUGGCGAAGCCCAUGUACUAGAAGCUCUGUGCAAAGACUCGCAUUUCCUUGAGCACCUUGAGGCCGAAGAUACCACUAUCUGCACAAUUGUAAACCUGAGGUUGUUAAUACUGUUGCUUAAAAUGUAUUUAGUAAUUGAAGGGAAACAUACUACUGAAGUCAAAGAAAUGCCCCAAAGAGGCUUUACAUUAAGGAGGAAGAAACGGAAAAUGAUUCGCUGAUUGUCUUGGGAGGAAUGCUGUGGCUCUCCUUGGGCCUUUUUUACUCACCCAGGAAAACUAGUGUCGCACAAAGAUGCCUAACAGAGAAGGAUGAAGGUGGAAUCGCGGACAGAGUCGUUAUAAGAAAACAAGAGGAUAAAAAAUAAUCCUGUAGGCAUUAAAUCGCUCCAGAAAGUCAUGCUACCGAACAGAGGAACGCUGUGAUACUUUAAAAUAACUUUAACU
This is a long non-coding RNA of Hyaena hyaena (striped hyena), 642 nucleotides long. RefSeq lists it as uncharacterized. Lineage: Eukaryota; Metazoa; Chordata; Mammalia; Carnivora; Hyaenidae. The record is from RefSeq and is a predicted model, not a curated record. The transcript has 3 exons.